AGGCGACUGCGGGCAGGUAAGAG
RNAcentral lists this non-coding RNA (23 nucleotides) under Cricetulus griseus (Chinese hamster). The record is from RNAcentral. Lineage: Eukaryota; Metazoa; Chordata; Mammalia; Rodentia; Cricetidae.